Molecule: ribosomal RNA, 460 nt
Filed under: uncultured bacterium
Lineage: Bacteria
Description: partial 16S ribosomal RNA
Rfam family: Bacterial small subunit ribosomal RNA
Source: RNAcentral
CCUACGGGUGUCAGCAGUGAGGAAUAUUGGUCAAUGGGCGCGAGCCUGAACCAGCCAAGUAGCGUGAAUGAUGACUGCCCUACGGUUUGUACACUUCUUUUAUAAAGGACUAAAGUGAGGCACGUGUGCCUUUUUGUAUGUACUUUAUGAAUAAGGAUCGGCUAACUCCGUGCCAGCAGCCGCGGUAAUACGGAGGAUCCGAGCGUUAUCCGGAUUUAUUUGGUUGAAAGGGAGCGUAGAUGGGUUGUUAAGUCAGUUGUGAAAGUUUGCGGCUCAACCGUAAAAUUGCAAUUGAUACUGGCAGUCUUGAGUACAGUUGAGGGAGGCGGAAUGAGUGGUGUAGCGGUGAAAUGCUUAGAUAUCACGAAGAACUCCGAUUGCGAAGGCAGCUUACUAAACUGCCACUGACAUUGAUGAUCGAAAGUGUGGGUAUCAAACAGGAUUAGAGACCCUAGUAGUC